CCUACGGGAGGCUGCAGUGAGGAAUAUUGCACAAUGGGCGAAAGACUGAUGCAGCAACGCCGCGUGAGCGAUGAAGGCAUACGGGUCGUAAAGCUCUGUCCUCAAGGAAGAUAAUGCCGGUACGCGAGGAGGAAGCCCCGGCUAACUACGUGCCAGCAGCCGCGGUAAUACGUAGGGGGCUAGCGUUAUCCGGAGUUACUGGGCGUAAAGGGUGCGUAGGUGGUUUGUUAAGUCAGCGGUGAAAGGCUACGGCUCAACCGUAGUCAGCCGUUGAAACUGGGGAACUUGAGUGGAGGAGAGGUGAGCGGAAUUCCUGGUGUAGCGGUGAAAUGCGUAGAUAUUAGGAAGAACACCAGUUGCGAAGGCGGCAUUCCGGCCCGUAACUGACACUGAGGCACGAAAGCGUGGGGAGCGAACAGGAUUAGAUACCCGAGUAGUC
This 439-nucleotide ribosomal RNA is filed under the name uncultured bacterium. RNAcentral describes it as "partial 16S ribosomal RNA". It matches the Rfam family "Bacterial small subunit ribosomal RNA", at positions 338 to 795 of the family's 1533-position model. The record is from RNAcentral.